GUCGGGGUAGCUCAGUAGG
This 19-nucleotide transfer RNA is filed under the name Viscum bagshawei. RNAcentral's name for it is "partial tRNA-Phe". The record is from RNAcentral. Lineage: Eukaryota; Viridiplantae; Streptophyta; Magnoliopsida; Santalales; Viscaceae.